AUGCACAAAGGCCAGCCUAGAUCUAACGGAGCCGACGAUGAGGCUGGAAUCCCAGGCUUAUUCCUGAAGGAAGGGCGCAGGGGAGGACAAGGGGAACCCAACAAGCUGCUCUGCACUUGCAAUUGGAAGACAAAACUACACCUCCCAGGAAGCAGUUCGGCCCUUGCCCGCCCCCUCCCCGCGCUCCGCCUUCCCCGCCCCAUCCCUUCCCGGCCUGGCGCGUAUAUAAGGGCCAAAUGGUCCCGCCGAGAGCAGAGCGUGGAGGUGGCGCGGGCGCGGCGGUGGGCCUGGGGGUCGUCACUCCUGCAGCUGGCAGCCGCCGCUCCGCGCUUCCUGCCGCAUCUCUCUUGCCCGGCGGGCGCCCAUCCCGUCCCGCCCCGGCCCGUGGACCUGCAAACCGAGGCUCAGAGCGGAUUUGCCCUAGGGGCUUUCACGAGCUUAGCAGAGGGGUUCCCGGCGGGGUUCCCUGGGGUCACGGGGCGCGAUGAGCAGCGAAGAAAGGAGGCGAGGAGCUGCGUCCGGGCUUGGUGCUCUCUGAACGCGAGGAGGCGGGAUGCGCUCGCCGGGGUCCAUGAUGUGCUCGGCGCCCGUCCCUGGGCCCGGGAAUGCGGCCGCUGGGGAACCGGGGCCAGCGAAUUCGCCCGCGAUCUCCGCGGAUCCCAGGACUGCCAGCGCUUUGGCCCUAGAUGGACGGUGGGGAAUGGGGUAGGGGGCUCCGGAACCCCUAACGUGGAUUACUUGGUGCAUAUCGCCCGGGCAUGGAAGACCCACCACCUCGUCUCCACCCGUGGAUUGAUGCCUUCUGCCGAACAGGUCGCUUACCUGGAGGUGGAACCAGAGAUUCGUGGCUGCUGUGAGUAGGUGCUUCUGACGGGGAAAGAAGGACAAGAUGAGAGGCCUGGAAGGAAGGACCGAUAAAGGGCUGUUCUUCCUCGCCCACGCUUCCCACCAGGAACUUCUGUGGAGCCAGAGUUUGCCGCCAGAACCCCCACAGGACCUGGGUGAAACAGGACCAUCUCUUAAGAGGCAAGAGCUCUUGAUUUGAUUGAGGAUUCUUAUUUUGGAGAACAAAGCAACUUCCAGAUUUGAGAAGACCUGCAGUUGAAGAAGACACCAUUGUCCCGGAUCCCUUGUUCUUCCUUCGCGUGGGAAAUGUUUCUUGGCGGGUGCCUGGUCUUAAGACUCCCCCACACCGGCCCCAGGGAAGCCAAGGACUUUCUGCCACACCCUUCCUCGCCCCCCACCUCCCACGUCCGCUGUGCCUUUGGACUCGGCAAUUCUUGUUUGCUCCAUUAUCUUCCAGCCGGAUACAGAGUGAAUAGUUAACUACCCGCAGGUCAAUGGGGUCUUAAUUUUUGUUCCUGCUCCCUCUACAGAGGCCAGUGUCUGUGUGUUGCUAUGCAAGCGGCCUUGGAAUUGCAUCCCUUCUCAUUGAUUUGGGAUCUGGCCCCCGCAGGUUCCAGAGCAAUGCGGGUCCAGGCAGAAAUUCUUCAGGCUCUCAGGAUGUUGGAGGGGGCGCUGGCCGCGAGCUGGACCAUGAAGGCUGGCGUUCCCCACAUUCAGCUUUCUUGGGUUCGGAUCAUAAGCAGGUGUAGAUCUGGAGAAGCAGAAAAUGAACACAUUUUCUACUGACACCGAUGCACGGUCAGCGGUGAAGACCUUCUCCCAGCUAGCAUUUGGGUUCUGUGUCCAAACGCGGCGCUUCAUGGCAGAGUAUCCAGCCACCAGAGUUGGUGUGUCUUGAGGACCUGAAUUCUUGAGUGUGUGCUGGUGACACAGCCCUCUGACAGUCGAUGGGGCCUCACAAAACACAAGUCCUGCCUUUUCCUUUUCACUCUGUGGCCGUCAUACAUACGGCUAAAAACAUUUCCUAGAGAUCAGUCAUGGUUCAGUCGUGUCCAAAACGCAGAGCCAAAGAUGCAUUUUCUCUUUUCACAGCAAAUGAAUGACUUGCCUUCGGAAAAAGAAUGAAAGCCAGACAUUCUGCAUCUUUCCCGUGUUGUAGAUGAUGCAUUUGGAUGACCACUUUGUGACUUUGGUGUCUUAGAAGGGAAGCAGUGGGGUCCUUGGCAUCUCAGAUUCACCACAAAACAGACGAGGAGAACUUCUGGCGGAUGGUUUGUGCUUUUGAAAUGGGAGGCUUGUUUGUGGGCUUUUACCUUCCUUCCUUGACCUGCAGACACCUCAUUGCAUUAGAUUCCUUUGGGUUUUAAGAAGCAGAGACUUGCUUAUACUGCUCCGUACAUGCUGGUUUGUUUCGAGUUGCCAUGGACGUAAAGAAGAAAGGAAGCAGCCCGCCGAGGCGCUCUCCACCUAGGCCUGCCCAAGAAGCCCAAGUCGUUCCAGAUAGCCAGGGAUAGCAGAACCGAACCACCCUGGCCAUCUUGAUCUUCUGUUUGCACCAGCAUCCACUGUUCCCAGGAUCCUACCAUGGUGAUGAGCUGAGGGUGACUCAGUUGGCCCAGGACUGAGGAGUUUCCUGGGAUGCAGGACUUUUUAGUGCUAAACCUAGGACAGUCCUAAGCAAACUGGAACAACCAGUCACCCUACUGGGUGACUCGAGGACCCUGCCUCUCUUCUACUUUCCCUGCUGUGACUGGCUGAUGCUCUUGAUGGGUCUGGCCAGUCGCCAUUCAAAACUCUUGCAUCAGGCAACUUCAUUGGCCACUGGGCUACCUAUAGAUGGGUGCCCGUGGACCCAGCACCAACCCAUCUUGACCAGAUUUGUUGUUUCCAGGGUCAUAGGGUUGCAUAAUCUAGAAUAAAAGCCUGGCUGUAAACAACCAGCUGAGACCACUUCCUUCAGAAGACUGCUGUGGACAGGUGGCCCUGGCAGGCAUUCAAGGUAUCAGGGGUUCCUAUCUGAUACAACCCAACUUAUAAAGAUGGUAUUAACCUUUUCUAUUAAGAACCAAACAGUUCAUUAUGAAACAGAAACAAAUAUAGCCACUGGGAACAAGGGGAAAGAGACUGCAGAGUGUGUGUGUGUGUGUGUGUGUGUGUGUGUGUGUGUGUGUGUGUUUACCAUACAAGUUCACACUGUAUAGAAUAAGGAGACAAGAAGAAAAGUCUCCAUCUGAGCUCGACAGAAAACUAAGACCUAAAAUCCUUGGGAUGCUGAUGUCUGGAGUUCAAAGGCAUGAGCUACAGGACUUCCUGAAAUUUCUUUGAACUCUAGGACCCCUUCACACUCUCAGGGGCAUGUAAAUUUGGCCUACGUGUGUACUUUCUGUUUAAGUCUCCUAGAGAACUUUUGAAGUCAACUCAGAUAGCAUUGAAUAGGACCUCCCAGCUCCCCCGUACCGUUCCAGACACUUGACUUUAUCUGGGAUAAGGGAGCGGAACUUGGUGGUAGGAGCCCAGGGUAGAGGAGGAGAAGGUUGUGCCAGCCCCCAUUUGGGGUGUUCCUGACAGGUAAGAACCACCUGAAGGCAAAUUACAGGUUCUUUUCGGGAUAGCUAAAGCCAGGCUUUCAGGAUGGCAUGCCAUCCUGAUGUUGUUGCUUCUUGUCGAAGGGGGAUCAAGUCUUUAUCUUUUUUGUUGAAAGGCAGGCCUGAGCAUCUGGAGUCCUGGAACAUGAGCCUUCAGCUAAUCAUGUUCAUCUUACAUGAUGUGGCCACCGGGGAAUCUUCGCCUGCUAAGAUAGAGAUGAGCAGGCAAACAUCUAGAAACUACCCUCUCAUUACACAUGCGUGGAGACCAAGACCCAACAUGGUGCGUCUGGGUCUUCACCCCGGUUCCGACUUUCCCUGCCUUCAUGGCCAUUGAAGGAAGGCUAGUCAGCUCCCGGGUGCCACUUUUCUUUUUCAAAAGGUGGACUCACUUCAGAUGUUACCUUCAUCUGUAUCCCACAGAUAUCCCUUGGUUCCAGCAGAAGUCCCACGAUUGUGCCAAAAGCAACAACUUUCUCUUUUUCUCUCUUUUCUUCUCAUCCAUAUAGAAUCCCAGAAUCCCAAGAGCCUGAUGGAGUCUAAAAGCAUCCCUCUUAUCCCCGAUCUACCUCUGACUAAUGCAGGAAUUCCCUUUCCAACAUUGGAUGAGGGAUGGUCCAGCCCUGGGGGAGGCAGCCUUUCUGGCAGAGUAGCGGAAGAGAACUGUGAGAGAAGGUUGGAUGAUAUUCAACCUGGUGGGGAAGCAGAAUUUUAAAGAGCAACUCACAGGCUGCCAAGUGUCCAUGAAUGUUGAUUUCUCCAUCAGAUAUUGAGCCAAAUGCAUCUUAUUUCUGGGCCCAGGUGCAUGUCUUAUGCUGAUAAAAAAAACAAAACAAAAGAGUGGGGAGACCAGGAGACUUGAGUGUCUCAGAAAACCCCUCUUCUUGGUUCCUUCCAGGUAAAAUGAGUGAGUCAGGCCACACGCUUCCCAAAGCCUCUGCCAGCGCUGCCAUCCACAGGGCUGCCAUAUUGGAUGCAGUUCAUGACAAAGGAUUUGCUACUUUUUGUUCUCUCUGGCUCUCCUCCUGCCUUCCCUUCAGCUUGCUCCAAGAUCAUGU
RNAcentral lists this long non-coding RNA (4489 nucleotides) under Sus scrofa (pig). Its description in RNAcentral is "lncRNA (ENSSSCG00045029615.1)". The record is from RNAcentral. Lineage: Eukaryota; Metazoa; Chordata; Mammalia; Artiodactyla; Suidae.